GCGAAGCCGGAAAUGGCGGUCGGUGGCAGGGAGGCUUUGCGGCGGUGUCGGGGAUCAGCUCCGGGCGGUGAAGUCUGACAGGGUGGGCUUCGUUGCGUCGGUGCUGGUAGAGUGUGGCUUGUCAUCCCGCAGCGUUGUGAGCUCCGACGACUGUAGAGCGAUCCCGGUGAGGAGCCCGGUCGGUUGGGCCCCGGCGCCUGGUGAAGGACCCUGGUCGGUUGGGCCUUGAUGAGCUCCAGUGCCUGGUGGUCACUUGGGCUCCGGUGCCCAGUAAAGGAGCUCGGUCUGUUGGGCUCUGGUGAGCCACAGUGCCUUGCAAGGAGCCUGGUCGGUUGGGCUCUGGUGCCCAGUAAGGACGCUGGUCGGUCGAGCCCUGGUGCCUGGUGAGGAGCCCGGUCGGUUGAGCCUUGACAAACUUGAGCUGUCGGCAGAGCCCCAGGCAGCUUCCCCUGCCCAGCCCCGCCAUGACAGGCCAGGGGCCGUGGGGGGUCCGUCGGGUGCUGUUGGCGUCGGUGGCCGCGCUGGGAUGGCUACUGGCCCUGCAGUUGCUUCUUGACUUGCGGGCACUGGGGCUGCUCUGUGGGGUGCUGGCGGUGCUGGGUGGCUGGCUGGGCCCCCGGGCCCUCAGCCACCCCGGCCGGCGGUUGCGGCUGGAGCAUUUUGUCAGCUCCCUGCAGCCCCAGCCCCACUGCCCGGUGGCCACGGGGCGGCUGGAGAAGGAGAUCGCCGGCACCAUCCACAAAAUGGUGCGGGACUUCGUCGCCUCCUGGUACCGCACCAUCAGCAGCGAGCCAGCCUUCGAGGCUGAGGUGGAGAAGGCCAUGACAGGCCUGGCCACUGAGCUGAGGCGGCGGAUGGGGCAAGUGGACCGCCAAGCCCUGGCCCACCGCCUCCUCCUCCUCUACGGCCAUCACUUGCAGAGCUACCUGCAGGCCCGCGAGGCCCUGAGGGGCGAUCCGGAGGGUGGCCGGACCCUGUGGCUGGAGUACAGCCGGCUGGCGGGGCCGCACCCGGCCCUCCGCAGCCCGGCGGCUGAGGUGGGCUAUGCCCGGGCUGCUGUGGACACGCUGCUGCGGGCGCUGGUGCCCUGGCCCCACCUGGAGACACGAACGGGACGCUUUGUUGUGGUGGAGCUGAUUGCCUGCAACGUGCUGCUGCCGGCCAUCAGAAAGAUGUCUGAUCCUGACUGGAUCAACUUGCUGCUCAUCGGGGCUUUCUCCAAGAAGCCCCGGGGUGUGGAGCCACCCCCUGCACCCCCAGUGCCUGAUUUCUUGCCCUUCGUGGCGCAGACGGAUGCCGCCACUGCCGGGCUGCCCCCCUCCCCGAGGGCCACGGAGGUGCCCAGGCAAGAGGCAGGGGCUGCUGUCGAGGACAGAGAGGACUCAGCGAGUGGGCUGUGCCACACAGAGGAGCCCUUCCUCCGCCCGCGAGCCCUGGGCUCCCUCUUCCCCUGCGAGGGUUUGGAGCUGGAGUCCCCCGUGCCCGAUGCGGGCCAGGACGCGGACCUGUUGGUACCAUCGCCCAUGAGGGAUUUCCUCGAUGAACCCCCCCAGGACACCUCCACUGUGGUGGAGGGAGCGGCCGCUUCGGAGGAUGGCAUGGGGGACCUGGAGGAGGGUGUUGCCCCUAGCUUGGAUGCUGGCCUGCUUCCCACCUCUGCUUUUGCACUGACCUCCUGCCCUGACAUCCAGAUCGACCCAGCAGUUGAGAAGGAAGAGGAAGGCCCAGCUGUCCCCAAGAAGUCCUCCUCGCAGAGGCCCUCCAGCUUGGGGAAAGAUCUGGGAGCAGUAGAGGGCCCACCACAAAGCCCCCCAGACCCUGGGCAGACUCUGCCCCUGCUCUCAUCCUCCCCAACGGCUUCCGUCAGCACCUUCAGCUUUGAACCCCUCAGCAGCCCCGAUGGGCCGGUCGUCAUCCAGAAUCUGCGGAUAACGGGGACCAUCACUGCCCGAGAGCACAGCGGGACUGGCUUCCACCCCUACACCCUGUACACUGUCAAGUAUGAGACAGCCCUGGAGGGUGAGAGCGCGGGCAGCCUUCAGCAAAUGGCUUACCACACCGUGAACCGCCGUUACCGGGAGUUCCUCAACCUCCAGACCAGACUGGAGGAGAAACCGGAGCUCCGCAAGUUCCUGAAAAAUAUCAAAGGCCCAAAGAAAUUGUUCCCUGAUCUCCCAUUUGGAAACAUGGACAGUGAUAAAGUGGAAGCCAGAAAAAGUCUGCUAGAAUCUUUCUUGAAGCAAUUGUGUGCAGUCCCUGAGAUUGCAAACAGUGAGGAGGUGCAGGAGUUCCUCGCCCUGAACACUGACGCCAGGAUCGCGUUCGUCAAGAAGCCCUUCGUUGUCUCCAGGAUAGACAAGAUCGUUGUCAAUGCCAUCGUGGACACCUUGAAGACGGCGUUCCCCAGGUCAGAGCCCCAGAGCCCCACGGAGGAUCUUAGUGAGUCUGAAGUGGAUGGGAAAUCUCAGACAGACGGGAAGAAGGCUAACAGGUCCAGGCUGAGGUUCUCAUCCAGUAAAAUUGCUCCAGUGCUGAGUGUGAAUGAAGCGCAUGACAGGAUUGUGUACUCUAUCCGGGAGGGCAGUGCUGUCUCUGGCACCCUGUCACUAGCUGCUAUGGAGUCCUUCAUCCAGAAGCAGGAGAAGCUGCUGGAGGCAGUCCCCAGCAAAGCUCCUGAAGGCGAGGGAGGUAGAGAAGCUAAGGAAAGCUCCAUGGAGGACAACAUGGACGGGCUGCGCACAUCAGAGCAGGGGACACGUCCGGACACGGACUCUGACUCUGAGACAGCUUUGGCUGAUGUGGCCCUGGAUGUGCUUCGUCUGCUGCUGAUGGAUCACUGGAGCUGGCUGUGCACAGAGAACGUCCAGAAGGUCUUCCACCUGCUCUUCGGGACCCUCAUUCAAAGGUGGCUGGAAGUCCAGGUGGUUAACCUGACCUGCACCCAGCGUUGGGUCCAGUACCUCCAGUUGCUACAGGAAUCCAUCUGGCCUGGAGGAGUUUUGCCAGCAGUGCCUAAACCAGCCAGGACAGAGGAACAGAAGAAAGCAGCAGCAGAGCAGGCCCUGCAGAGCCUGAUGGGCAUCUUGCCUCAUGUGAUCCAAGAAAUCCUUGGAACCAGUAAAUGUCGGAUGAGCUGGAACCUGGUACUGGAGUCCCUGGGCCGGCCUGUGAUAAACAGGCUUUCCAGUGAGUGUGAAACCAGAGAAGCGAUGUGGAGAUCUUUGGCCUUUCUCCUGGAAGAAAGUGAAAGAGAUUCAGAGAAGCAGGGAUUGUGCAGACCCAUCUCCACAUCCCUUGGGCACCGCUGCUUAGGAAGUUCACCAUGAUAUCGGUCCUGGAGGAGGAAAGCUGGUAAGCUAUAAGGAAAUAGAGAAUGAAAAUGAGAAAUUCCACAUGAAAUUUGAAAUAUGACGUCGAAGAAAAAAAUAGAGGGAGGAAGAAAAACCUGAUACAAUGAAUGCUUGAGUCAUGUAUUAUUCUGGAUUAGCUCUGCCAUGGAAAAAUCCCAUACACCCUAUGAAAUCCAUUACCUACAAGCCAGUGAACAUUUGUACAGCACAUGAUGUGGGGAUCAUAGCUGAAGCCAAGUUCCCCUGUAUAAUAUCCACCCCAGGGUAGAUUGGUCCAUUUCCAGUGUCAACAGCCAGAGGAUUAAGCAUUUAUCUCUGCAGAACAGUGGGUAAUUAAUAGCAGAUCGAACUAGGGGCUACGCUCGAGAGAGCUUGCUUGUGACUAUAUUUGUGACUGAGUGUGGCUUUAUUGCCUGCGGGCGAGUUAGAGGGAGUGGGGUGAUGUUUUGUCUGUACCACGAGGUGCAGGCAUUGCCUCGGUGAUGUGUGCCUUGUAGCAGAGCAUCGGUAGCUACAGGGCUUUGCGCUGGGGUGGCAUCGGGCUUCCCAAAUGAAGCUGAGGGUGAGCUUUCCCAUUGUGGCCACAGGCGGUAGGCAUUAGGGGUGAAAACCUAUCAGGAGACCUCUCCUUCCAGCCGAAAGUUGGAAGAAUGGAAUCAGGAUGCUGUGAUUUGCCAUCUUCUGGAUUUAAAUGUAAAAUCCAGGUUUUGGCACUUCUGGCUUCCUUGAAAUAAAUUAAUACCAUUAUCCUGGCCGCAGUCCAGUUCAGGUAAUUAUAUUCUUCCUACCUUAAUGCCACUCCAGCCCCCUGUCUCCACUGGAUAUGCUAUACUCUAAUUCCUGUCUGGAACUUGCUUAUUAUGUUACAAAGUCUUAUUUUUUUCCCUCUGAGUACAACUUGUGCACAGAGCACUAGCCAGCCCCCAGCACUAUGCUGAGCUGCUAAAAUAGUCGAGACAACCUGCCUUAGACAUCUGACUGCCUGGUGGUGUCCUGGAGCAUCUCUCCCCCUGAGCUGAGAGGGUGGAUAACAUAAAAGAUCAGAGCAAGGGGUUCAGUCCUGUUUAACCCAGUGGACUGCUAGAAACCCGCUUCUCUCUUCUCGGAGUGCCUUAGGGUGGUGGGGGAAGAGACCUCUUGUCUUCAGGGAGAACAUUGGCAGUGUCCUAAUGUAAAUAUGUCCAAACCUCCCUGCUAAUCUAGCGGGGCAGUCCUGCCUUGCUUCGAGGUUAGCAUCCAGUCCUAAGAAACUCUGUUUCCUGCAGUACGUGAGCAAUGCUAGAAGCUGGCUUUGAGUACCUGGUUUCCCUUUUGGAGCGCAGCUCGCUUGUCCGUGUUGGUGGCUUGGUGGCCCUUACAUCUCCUGCAAUUGAUGCAUUGGGUUGUUUUUUCCCUUUUGAAAAGUAUUUAAAGUCGCCUUCUUUCCUUACCCUUUCAAUUACGCUCACUUCAUCUCCUGGCCUCGCUGAGCGGCUGAAAAGGUUGCUCAAGCAGUACUUGAGGAGAGCGUCCCGCAAUUUGCCGUACUUCCUUCCUGUUCCCAGGCCCCUUUGCUCUUCCACGGCCCUUGAGGACAAGGAGGGUUUGAGGGACGUGCUGGAAGAGGGACAGCAGGGGUGAGGAUCAAAGACCAUAAACCACUGUUUAAAAAAUAUAAUGCCCACCGCUUCUCUGGAGUGUCGCAUCUGGCAGAGCCUCAUUAACCUUCUGUUUCCCCCUCCUACUCCUUUGCCCCUGAAAAUCAACAAAGCCAAACAUAACAAGUUGCCUUGAUUGAAGAAGGCUGAAGUGUGUGUGCUUAGUGUGAAAAAGCAAAAGCAAAGCCAUUGGCUAAAGCCCCUUUUCCAUGCAGGCCACUUCACAUUUAUUACGUUAGAAGACGGAGCUCUUAAAAUCCCGAUGCUCUUUAUAGUUGAGCUCUUUAACUUUCUCCCUUCCUCCCCUUGCAGCCUUCAUUCUCCUCUUGUUCCGCUCCUUCCGCUCCGCUCCUUUCUCUUUUGUCCUGUGAGAACGAGUCUUUUAAUCCCCUUGUACUGCAGAUUAAAGCUAUUAUAGCCUCCCCAACCUGACAUUUUCUCAGAGAGGCUCACAGCCAGAUCUUUAUGAGUGCUCUCUGUCUGUCUGCUGCUGCCUUUCUUCUCGGCAUACUAAACCUCCGUUCCUGACCUUUCCCCGAAGAGGGAAGGGCUGUAGCGUGCAAUCCCAUGUAGGCAAAGGCUGGUCUCAGCGGGGCUCGGGGUGCAGGAAAUUAAGACCCAUGGAAAUUAACAAGUAAAUAAGGAGAGAAAGAAAAGACGAUGGGAAUUAAGAGACAGAACCAAAGCAAAAUUCAGCAUGUUUGGAAACCAAAUGCCGGGCUUGGGUCUGAGUUUUGCAAAUGGUCCUGUCUUUAUGAGGAGCCAAACCAUAAACCUGGGACUCAUUUUUAGUAGCAGAUUGGGGUUACCUGAAACCUAAGCUACAGUCCAACUCCGCACUUUGCAUUUGGCCCAAGAAUAAUGGAUCCAGGCACCUAGAAGUACACAGGUAAAUGUUGCGUUUGUGAUCUUUCAGGGACAGGAGUGACUUGUAGUACUAUGGGGCUCUGUCCAUGACAGCAGAUUUCAUAGUAUUUGUCAUCAAAUGAUUGUACCUCACCUCUGAGAUUGCAGAGUGGAUUGAUGUGCUGGUCCUUGUCUUGUGCACAUCAUAAAAGCACAAAGGAUCAGGGUAGCUUGCCUAAAAGUGCAUGCGCUAAUGGGAGAAACAUCUUUCCUAUGGAGUUUUCUGGCUCUCGUCAUCAGUCCUGCCACUGCGAGGUGUCCUACAAAUGUCCCAGAGUUCUUGGCAAAGCACCAAGGAAGGUGAAAAACUGGCCCCAAGAUACAUUCCCCAGAGGAAUUGUGUACAAUUACCCCAAACAGGCCCCCUUUCAGCUUUGUGUACAAUAUACAAGCAUGCGUUAGUGAAUAGGAGGGGUGUCUGUUGCUAACACGCGCUUUGAGCAGGGAGGAGGCAGUUUGGUUUCCUCUUCUUUUGGACCUCCAGCAUGAACUUGGCCUGGUUGUUCUGAGCCAUCAUUUCACCCAGCUGUAAAACCGGGUUGGUAACCUGACCCAGAGCUGUGCAGACAUCCUAACUCUGCAAAACUCUGGGUACUUUGCUAACCCGUUCAGCUUGAACUGAAGAAAAUCACGCAAUACCUAUAGCAAGUGAGUACAAAAGGUCAAGUUUUGGUCCUGCAAGGCUUUCCUUACAUCCAUUUAUAGGUGGGUGAUGUUUUACUUCCCUUGUAAAAGGACAAACUGAGAAUUUGCUUAUCUUUAUAAGCACCUUGAAAGCACGGCCUUCACAAGUCACGCGUGGGGUUAGGAGACAUUUGAGGGGUAGAGUCAACACAUACAGAUUUUGCUAAAAUAGGUGGUGACCAUGUAUAAAAAGGUUUCCCAUACUUAAGGGCAGCAGCAGCGCUGCGAUGACAGGCCAACUCAUGGCAUUUGUGCUCUCCCAUCGUGCGCCCGAGCAAACGCAGAGGCUUCUGGGAGCCGCAGCGAAACUGCUUUCAAAGCAAAUAAUAAAAGAAGUGCAACUGUCCCCUUUUGGGAACUCAUUUCGGGGCAAAAGUUCCCCUGGCAGCCCAGCUUGCCUAUAAUGAAAUCAAAACAGGAGCUCGCCCCCGGAGGGGCCGUAUGUGUGAAACACUGCCAUGUCGAAUCCGUAUGAAUCCUCCGUAAGGAAAGCCCGAGCCCUGUAAUUACUGGUUUUCUAGCAAGCAGCCUUUUCUUUCUCUUUGUGUGGGCCCGGUCCCCUUCCCCUCUCCCCCCAUGCGUGCAUGAUAAGAGGAUAUUUGUAAUGAAAAUCACUGGGCAGAAGUGGAGAACAAAAGCAGGGGCACAGCGCGCUCGCCAGUGGGGAUAUUAGAGGCGCUGGGCUCCCACCUCCGUCCGGUCUGCUCUCUGCUGGGAGAGCGCGGUGGGCACGGCGGGCUGGGGAGGCUCUUAUUAACCUUAAUCUGCAGAAAGGGGCUGAAGCCACGCCAUGGUCCGGUUUCAUAGCUACAGCGGCUCGCUCCCAAGCGUGCAGCCUUAUGAAGGGGCAGUCUCCCCAGCAACUCUAAUGCGUUUUUGCACCGUACCAUCUAAUCUGAGGUAGAAAUGUCACUGCCGUCAGACCCCAGGCUGGCAGCUCCCAGCCACGGCCGCGCUGGUAAGCACAUAUCCAGCUUCAACCUUCUGGUUGCUGGGGUGAAAGGGCCUCUUUAUCUCCGCGGGGAGAGGCAGAUGAAUCCCGGGCUCAAACAAGGGACCUGCUUUUUUUUUUUCUUCCCCCACCAGACGCUCCCCCUCCGGUUCAAGGGCUCUUUAUUAUGUCUUUUAAUUCUGAGCUGCGAGUGGGAGGGAGCAAUAAGGCUGGAGAAAUAGUGGGGGGGAAAAAAGCCCCUCGCAGUGGGGAAAGGCCCCAGCCACCAGUGUGUGAAAAGGGAAGGCAGCGCGGGGAUUAGAAAUGUCAGCUUCAUGGGAAGUACUUGAUAUUUAAUAGCUUCACUUGAUUGCUGCAAGGCUGUGAUGGGCACAGUGCCAUAAGGGCGGCUGUGAGCCGUGUCCCCUGGAGAAUCGAUGCCAUUUCUGGGUGCCUCGGGAGCUAUCGCAAUAUAGGACGGUGAGAAAGAGCCGUGGAAGCUGAGCUUGUAUUACUUAAGAUGAGGUUGUCAGGUUGAUGGCUCAUCCUUUCCGUGUCUGGCUGGCACAGGAUGCAGGACGCCCUGCUCCUGACGCAGCUAACGGAGCUGAGCUUUCUUCCCGCUGACAGCUAGUGCCCUCCGUCUGAUGGCUGAUAGCGCUUGUGACUUGUUUGUUGCGAAAAUGCUGCCGGAUGGUCUGUCUGCAACAUAUUCUCUAGUUUGCUCAUGUUUGCAGCCGCUGGGGGAACUGAGGCCUCUUAGAGCAUUAGCACUCGGUAAUCUCCUCUUCUCGACAGAUGCUCUGAUGCUAUCUGCCGCCCGUACAGUCGGGGCUACUGGAGGAAUUUGUUUGUGCAACGGGAGCGUGCUCCUGCGCCGGUAGGGAUCUCGUCAACGUUUUUGUCUGAUUAGGCCAAUAAAAAUUCUUGGAUUCCUCCCUUGUCUCCAGCACGCACACGCUGCAAACACCAACACACAAACAGCAUGCUUUAUUUCUCACACAGAUUACCUCCCAUGCCCCUCUGGAUGUGGCCUUGGGAGAGGAAGUUGCUCCUCUAGAAAAAGGGCUGUUGGAACCAUUGAAUAACUCUGAGAGGAUGGAGAUUGCUUCUUGUUGCUCCUUUUGUGACGAAGUGAUGAAGAUGAAGUGACCAGAGCUUUCCCAGCGUGACUGACUGUUAAAGAGCCUUCCCAGCAGUGUACUUCAUCACUAUCUCAGAAGGCAAUGUGCUUUUAUUGAACCAAGUCUGCUCUGGGCUCCGUACACUCCAUCAAGCUGUAUUAAGCUUUUGCUUUUGUCCGUGCAAGCGAAUUCUAAUAAACUAGCUUAUGGCUGUCAUUUUCAACACACUUCAGCACAAACACAUUGUUUCGAGAGCUUUAUCUGAGAUUCAUGUGCAUCUCCAAAGCAGCCCCUAUGGAGCGUCUGAAAAUCCCCCUAUCCCUUGAGGCAGGCGUUCAAAAUGGCAUUUGGCAACGUUCCUGCCACCACCUGCGUGGAAAAGCAGGAUGCAGGGCCUGUCCAUCCCUUGGCUCUCCUGUCUUGAGGAAAACGGCGUCCAGGGUAUAAAUAGGCACGAUGCGCUGCGAUCCUUUUUAAGGGCUGUUCUUGACCCAAUAUGCUCCGCCAACAAAAAUAACCUGUUCCGCCCUCUUCGGCAAGGUUCACCUGAAGCCCAAAAGCUGCAUUAGAACAGCGUGUAUUAAAGUGCAUCACACAUCAAGGGCUUGGAAAUAAACACCAGCGAUGUCUCUUUUUGAUCACAUUCCUUUCCACGACAGGCUGACGAUUUCCAAGCCAAGAAUGUCACUAACCUCUCAUAUUUCUCCUGGUCAUUUCUGUCCUGAAAUUGGAAUGCAGCCACAAGCAAAAGGGGGUUGAACGCUCCCGUGUCAGGGAUCCAGAUUUAAGAGACAUUAUCUCAUCGAUAGCGAACAACAAGGCUGGCACGCCGUCAGGCGCGAUAUUCCCUGGAAAGUUCAGCGUGCGUGGUGAAGGACAUGGGAAGGCAGGCUUAACUCGCAAUGCUAAGCUUGCGCUAGUCAAGCGUGGUAAGAUCCUGGCUGGCAGCCUCGGCGAAGUAUCUCUGUCACGUUGGAGAGCAGCGUAGGCGAGGGCCCCGUGCUUGUGGGAGGCAGAGGACACAGAAGGACUGAGGACGGUUGCACAGCGCAAUGGUUAGGAAUGAAAAAGUGAGAUCGCACAGAGGGAAGGAGGGGAACA
This is an RNA transcript of Aquila chrysaetos chrysaetos, 9733 nucleotides long. It is a transcript of the gene named sorting nexin 19, with no coding region annotated. The record is from RefSeq and is a predicted model, not a curated record. The transcript is spliced from 12 exons. NCBI's taxonomy places the organism in Eukaryota, Metazoa, Chordata, Aves, Accipitriformes, Accipitridae.